This is a long non-coding RNA of Saccostrea cuccullata (small rock oyster), 187 nucleotides long. RefSeq lists it as uncharacterized. The record is from RefSeq and is a predicted model, not a curated record. The transcript has 3 exons. Lineage: Eukaryota; Metazoa; Mollusca; Bivalvia; Ostreida; Ostreidae.
ACAGGAUAUACUCUGAAGACAGUGAUAUAAAAGUUCAAGGUUUGCCUGUUCAGAUACUUCUAUAAUAAAGAAUGGGUGAAAAAAUUCUCACAUCAUGCUGCAAAACAGUACAUUUCAGCUGUAACAAAACAAAUCAUCUGAUGAAAGCUUCAACCACAAGAAGGAAAGGAUGUCAAUUAAGUCCAAA